RNAcentral lists this long non-coding RNA (738 nucleotides) under Pan troglodytes (chimpanzee). RNAcentral's name for it is "long non-coding RNA NONPTRT005654". Lineage: Eukaryota; Metazoa; Chordata; Mammalia; Primates; Hominidae. The record is from RNAcentral.
CUGGAAGGCCCCCGGUCUCUGGAGGGGAGCAGGCGGUAGCGAGUUUAGUGACGUGGAGCAGGCGCAGAACAGUCGGAGGUGCCUGAGUGGUUAUUAAAAACGGUAACGAUUUGAAGAGAUUUCCUGGGUGUGGAGUGUGACUUUCCAAAACCAGCUUUUCCUUGAGCUGUAUUUGUUGCAGCAAUGUUUAGGAGAUUGACUUUUGCACAACUGCUUUUUGCCACUGUCCUUGGAAUUGCUGGAGGAGUAUAUAUUUUUCAACCAGUAUUUGAACAGUAUGCCAAAGAUCAGAAGGAAUUAAAAGAAAAGGUGCAGUUGGUACAAGAAUCAGAAGAGAAGAAAAGUUAAUACUACAUGGAGUUAGGCCGGGCGCAGUGGCUCACGCCUGUAAUCCCAGCACUUUGGGAGGCCGAGGCGGGUGGAUCAGGUGGUCAGGAGUUCAAGACCAGCCUGACCAACAUGGUGAAACCCUGUCUCUACUAAAAAUACAAAAAUCAGCCAGGCUUGGUGGCAUGCGCCUGUAAUCCCAGCUACUUGGGAGGCUGAGGCAGGAGCAUCACUUGAACCUGGGAGGCAGAGGUGGCAGUGAGUCAAGAUCACGCUGCUGCACUCCAGCCUGGGUGACAGAGCGAGACUCCAUCUAAAAAAACAAAAAGCAAAAAAAACCACAAAUACCUCAUGGAGAUGAACCGUAAUAAUUGCUUAAAGUUCCAUUUAAUUAUGUUAACUCGAAUCUAG